CCUACGGGUGGCUGCAGUAAGGAAUAUUGGUCAAUGGAGGAAACUCUGAACCAGCCAUCCCGCGUGAAGGAUGAAGGGGCUCUGCCUUGUAAACUUCUUUUGUCUGGGGCGAAAAAGCUCGAUUUAUCGAGAACUGACGGUACCAGAAGAAUAAGCACCGGCUAACUCCGUGCCAGCAGCCGCGGUAAUACUGAGGGUGCCAGCGUUAUCCGGAAUAACUGGGUUUAAGGCGGCUUUAUACGUCAGUGGUGAAGGGCUGUGGCUUAACCAUGGAAUUGCCAUUGAUACUGCAGAGCUUGAAUGAGGUUGAGGUUGGCGGAAUGUGACAUGUAGCGGUGAAAUGCUUAGGUAUGUCAUGGAACACCGAUUGCGAAGGCAGCUGACUGGACCUAUAUUGACGCUGAGGCACGAAAGCGUGGGGAGCGAACAGGAUUAGAUACCCUUGUAGUC
Molecule: ribosomal RNA, 450 nt
Filed under: uncultured bacterium
Lineage: Bacteria
Description: partial 16S ribosomal RNA
Rfam family: Bacterial small subunit ribosomal RNA
Source: RNAcentral